CAAUAAGCGGAGGAAAAGAAACCAACAGGGAUUGCCCCAGUAGCGGCGAGCGAAGCGGCAACAGCUCAAAUUUGAAAUCUGGCUCUCGGGCCCGAGUUGUACUUUGGAGAGGAUGCUUCUGGCGCGGCGCCGUCCGAGUUCCCUGGAACGGGACGCCGGAGAGGGUGAGAGCCCCGUACGGGCGGACGCCAAGCCUCUGCGAAGCUCCUUCGACGAGUCGAGUAGUUUGGGAAUGCUGCUCAAAAUGGGAGGUAAAUUUCUUCUAAAGCUAAAUACCGGCCAGAGACCGAUAGCGCACAAGUAGAGUGAUCGAAAGAUGAAAAGCACUUUGAAAAGAGGGUUAAACAGUACGUGAAAUUGUUGAAAGGGAAGCGCCUGUGGCCAGACUUGCGCCCCGCGGACCACCCGGCGCCUCGGCGCCGGGGCACGCCAGCGGGGUGCAGGCCAGCAUCGGCUCUCUCGGGGGGACAAAGGCCGCGGGAACGUAGCGCCCUCGUGGCGUGUUAUAGCCCGCGGUGCCAUGCCCCCAGGGGGGCCGAGG
RNAcentral lists this ribosomal RNA (541 nucleotides) under Raffaelea cf. lauricola. Its description in RNAcentral is "LSU rRNA". It matches the Rfam family "Eukaryotic large subunit ribosomal RNA", at positions 44 to 592 of the family's 3401-position model. Lineage: Eukaryota; Fungi; Ascomycota; Sordariomycetes; Ophiostomatales; Ophiostomataceae. The record is from RNAcentral.